AGCAGCCGCGGUAAUUCCAGCUCCAAUAGCGUAUAUUAAAGUUGUUGCAGUUAAAAAGCUCGUAGUUGAAUUUCGGGGUCAGUAGGUUGGUCGUGCCACCGGUACGUACUGGUCUCACUGAUUCCUCCUUCCUGAAGAACCGUAAUGCCAUUAAUUUGGUGUUGCGGGGAAACAGGACUGUUACUUUGAAAAAAUUAGAGUGUUUAAAGCAGGCUAACGCUUGAAUACAUUAGCAUGGAAUAAUGAAAUAGGACGAUCGAUCCUAUUUUGUUGGUUUCUAGGAUUGACGUAAUGAUUAAUAGGGAUAGUUGGGGGCAUUAGUAUUCAAUUGUCAGAGGUGAAAUUCUUGGAUUUAUUGAAGACUAACUACUGCGAAAGCAUUUGCCAAGGAUGUUUUCAUUAAUCAAGAACGAAAGUUAGGGGAUCGAAGACGAUCAGAUACCGUCGUAGUCUUAACCAUAAACUAUGCCGACUAGGGAUCGGAUGAUGUAAUUUAUAAUGACUCAUUCGGCGCCUUACG
Molecule: ribosomal RNA, 520 nt
Filed under: uncultured Glomus
Lineage: Eukaryota; Fungi; Glomeromycota; Glomeromycetes; Glomerales; Glomeraceae
Description: SSU rRNA
Rfam family: Eukaryotic small subunit ribosomal RNA
Source: RNAcentral